Molecule: ribosomal RNA, 496 nt
Filed under: uncultured bacterium
Lineage: Bacteria
Description: partial 16S ribosomal RNA
Rfam family: Bacterial small subunit ribosomal RNA
Source: RNAcentral
AUGAACGCUGGCGGCGUGCCUAAUACAUGCAAGUCGAGCGAACAGACGAGGAGCUUGCUCCUCUGACGUUAGCGGCGGACGGGUGAGUAACACGUGGAUAACCUACCUAUAAGACUGGGAUAACUUCGGGAAACCGGAGCUAAUACCGGAUAAUAUAUUGAACCGCGUGGUUCAAUAGUGAAAGACGGUUUUGCUGUCACUUAUAGAUGGAUCCGCGCCGCAUUAGCUAGUUGGUAAGGUAACGGCUUACCAAGGCAACGAUGCGUAGCCGACCUGAGAGGGUGAUCGGCCACACUGGAACUGAGACACGGUCCAGACUCCUACGGGAGGCAGCAGUAGGGAAUCUUCCGCAAUGGGCGAAAGCCUGACGGAGCAACGCCGCGUGAGUGAUGAAGGUCUUCGGAUCGUAAAACUCUGUUAUUAGGGAAGAACAAAUGUGUAAGUAACUAUGCACGUCUUGACGAUACCUAAUCAGAAAGCCACGGCUAACUACGUG